GAGGGUAUCGAUUUUCACUCCCAACCCCUGUGACAUACCAAUUGUUGCCUCGGCGGAUCAGCCCGCUCCCGGUAAAACGGGACGGCCCGCCAGAGGACCCCUAAACUCUGUUUCUAUAUGUAACUUCUGAGUAAAACCAUAAAUAAAUCAAAACUUUCAACAACGGAUCUCUUGGUUCUGGCAUCGAUGAAGAACGCAGCAAAAUGCGAUAAGUAAUGUGAAUUGCAGAAUUCAGUGAAUCAUCGAAUCUUUGAACGCACAUUGCGCCCGCCAGUAUUCUGGCGGGCAUGCCUGUUCGAGCGUCAUUUCAACCCUCAAGCCCAGCUUGGUGUUGGGACUCGCGAGUCAAAUCGCGUUCCCCAAAUUGAUUGGCGGUCACGUCGAGCUUCCAUAGCGUAGUAGUAAAACCCUCGUUACUGGUAAUCGUCGCGGCCACGCCGUUAAACCCCAACUUCUGAAUGUUGACCUCGGAUCAGGUAGGAAUACCCGCUGAACUUAAGCAUAUCAAUAAGACGGAGGAA
This 521-nucleotide ribosomal RNA is filed under the name Fusarium verticillioides. Its description in RNAcentral is "eukaryotic LSU rRNA". The stretch from base 152 to 305 matches the Rfam family "5.8S ribosomal RNA". Lineage: Eukaryota; Fungi; Ascomycota; Sordariomycetes; Hypocreales; Nectriaceae. The record is from RNAcentral.